UGGGGAAUAUUGGACAAUGGGGGGAACCCUGAUCCAGCCAUGCCGCGUGUGUGAAGAAGGCCUUAUGGUUGUAAAGCACUUUAAGCGAGGAGGAGGGUACUGGUAUUAAUACUACCAGCUACCGGACGUUACUCGCAGAAUAAGCACCGGCUAACUCUGUGCCAGCAGCCGCGGUAAUACAGAGGGUGCGAGCGUUAAUCGGAUUUACUGGGCGUAAAGCGUGCGUAGGCGGCUAAUUGAGUCGGAUGUGAAAUCCCCGAGCUUAACUUGGGAAUUGCAUUCGGUACUGGUUAGCUAGAGUGUGGGAGAGGAUGGUAGAAUUCCAGGUGUAGCGGUGAAAUGCGUAGAGAUCUGGAGGAAUACCGAUGGCGAAGGCAGCCAUCUGGACUAACACUGACGCUGAGGUACGAAAGCAUGGGGAGCAAACAGG
RNAcentral lists this ribosomal RNA (430 nucleotides) under Pseudomonadota bacterium. Its description in RNAcentral is "Proteobacteria bacterium partial 16S ribosomal RNA". It matches the Rfam family "Bacterial small subunit ribosomal RNA", at positions 355 to 776 of the family's 1533-position model. The record is from RNAcentral. Lineage: Bacteria; Pseudomonadati; Pseudomonadota.